This 253-nucleotide ribosomal RNA is filed under the name uncultured bacterium. RNAcentral describes it as "partial 16S ribosomal RNA". It matches the Rfam family "Bacterial small subunit ribosomal RNA", at positions 524 to 776 of the family's 1533-position model. The record is from RNAcentral.
GACAGAGGGUGCAAACGUUGUUCGGAAUUACUGGGCGUAAAGCGCGUGUAGGCGGCCCUGCAAGUCGGAUGUGAAAUCCCACGGCUCAACCGUGGAAGUGCAUUCGAAACUGCAGGGCUAGAGUCCUGGAGAGGAAGGUGGAAUGCUUGGUGUAGAGGUGAAAUUCGUAGAUAUCAAGCGGAACACCGGUGGCGAAGGCGGCCUUCUGGACAGCGACUGACGCUGAGACGCGAAAGCGUGGGGAGCAAACAGG